Molecule: unclassified non-coding RNA, 429 nt
Filed under: fungal sp.
Lineage: Eukaryota; Fungi
Description: partial internal transcribed spacer region
Rfam family: Eukaryotic small subunit ribosomal RNA (bases 1-46)
Source: RNAcentral
AAGUCGUAACAAGGUUUCCGUAGGUGAACCUGCGGAAGGAUCAUUAACACGUAUCCAACGUUAAACAACCCUGUGAACUUUCAGCCUGCUCUUGUAACCAUGAGGAACAGCAAUCCCGGUAAAUCAUUGCAAACAGUUUUGAUUCGGGACCUCUGUCCAAAAGGUGUUACAAUUGAGCGGUAGAGGCAGUGGCAUGGCUUCCCCAAGCAGUUAGUGAAUGACAGUGUCACUGAUUGUGUAAGGAUAACGCCUCACGGUUGCCAGAGGUCGAUCACCGACCGGCAGACAUGUCACAGGGUCACCACGCCCCUUAAUCACCCCAAUUUGAAAUUGCUCCUACCUGGUGGUAACUGAAAUUGCUCCUACCUGGUGGUAACGCACUGGGUCAAAAAAACCGAACAACUGUUAACAAUGGAUAUCUUGGUUCUC